Molecule: ribosomal RNA, 490 nt
Filed under: uncultured bacterium
Lineage: Bacteria
Description: partial 16S ribosomal RNA
Rfam family: Bacterial small subunit ribosomal RNA
Source: RNAcentral
AUUGAACGCUGGCGGCAGGCCUAACACAUGCAAGUCGAACGGUAACAGGAAGAAGCUUGCUUCUUUGCUGACGAGUGGCGGACGGGUGAGUAAUGUCUGGGAAACUGCCUGAUGGAGGGGGAUAACUACUGGAAACGGUAGCUAAUACCGCAUAACGUCGCAAGACCAAAGAGGGGGACCUUCGGGCCUCUUGCCAUCGGAUGUGCCCAGAUGGGAUUAGCUAGUAGGUGGGGUAACGGCUCACCUAGGCGACGAUCCCUAGCUGGUCUGAGAGGAUGACCAGCCACACUGGAACUGAGACACGGUCCAGACUCCUACGGGAGGCAGCAGUGGGGAAUAUUGCACAAUGGGCGCAAGCCUGAUGCAGCCAUGCCGCGUGUAUGAAGAAGGCCUUCGGGUUGUAAAGUACUUUCAGCGGGGAGGAAGGGAGUAAAUUUAAUACCUUUGCUCAUUGACGUUACCCGCAGAAGAAGCACCGGCUAACUCCGUG